UUUAGUCCUUUUCUUUCUUGCAAUGUUUGAUCUUUUGACAAUCUAUUUUUGAAAAUUUUUCUGGCCAGAAUGAUUUCUACGGCGACAUAUUUGGAUUCCUUGCAGUUCAUCCUAUCACCGCUUUAGUCUCCCUCCACCAUUUCAACAAGAUACAACCAAUAAUUCCUCAGAAGAGUAGGUUGCGAGUCCUAGAAAAGCUCAGGGCUCCGGCCAAACUAGACCCUGCUGCACUCAUGCAAAAAUCCAUUUGCCAUGCCCAAAACACGAAAUUGGAGUGUAUAUGUAUCUUGGAGCUAUGCAGUUCAGAUAUAUCGGGGCAUACUUUAUCCACGAGAAAUAUAAAUGAUAGCCAGAAGGCCCAGAACCUUUUUCAUUUGAUACCUAACAGUUAAUCCUGAAGGUUUCACAUUCAGCAACCGACCUUACUACGAGCAUGUAUGUUUCACAUUUGUGACUGGGAAAUAGGCCGUCCUUUACAAAUAGAUCGAGUGGAGGUUCAUAAGAGACCUAAACCUUACCUUACCUAUGGGAUGGGGCUCCUAGAAGAAACUGUUGCAGAACCUUACCCACAGAGAAAAAAUGACACGUUGGAAGUUCAGGUAGCAGAAUGCAGAGAAGAUGAUGAAGUCAUUGAAGUUCGGUGACAGAGAUUGAAGAGCUUGUUUUUUAAUGUGCCUUGUGUAAUUGAUUAAUUUUUUCCAUCAGCAUCUAGCAUUGCAGAUUUUGAUGAUAAAAAACUUGGGGCAGCGAAAGAAAGGGAGUUAGCUCAUUUACGUGGAUACCAUGAUUCAAUUGUAUAGGUCAGUAUUUAUUUUAUUUUGGAAAACCUCAAAAUUACCUUUUUCUACAGGAGCAAAUCAGCUUCAUUGAUGAGAUUGCAUGCUUUCACUCAAAAUGCUGGCAGAGGAUAUGAGUCUGUCUGAUUUGUUUGCUUGUGAUAUGCUCUAGGCUACUGUGCCUCCUGGCCAUGUUUCAGCAGUUGAUAUCGAAUGAUGUUCCUUUAUGCUGUAAAAGUGAUGUUUUAUUAGCUUUUAGACAAGCUGUGGAUGGUUAAGCAAGUUAGGUUUCAUUGUGUUGGAAUUGACCUUUGGAUGCAUGGCUACAGCUUCGUUAGGUAUUGUGGUCUCUGGACCACAGCUGUGGCCCUUGGUGUUUUCUGUCGUUGUCUCAUGGACAACGUCAAAGUUUUCCAAGGCAUCACCAGGAGUUCUUCAGCUCUCUCUAUUAUUUGCUAGUUUCCUCUUGCACGAGUGCCACCGAACAAGUAAUUCCCUCUGCAACUGAAGCAGCAAUUUUCUAAGAAUAAUAUUUAUGCCUUCUACUAGUUAA
This is a long non-coding RNA of Populus trichocarpa (black cottonwood), 1329 nucleotides long. RefSeq lists it as uncharacterized. The transcript is spliced from 2 exons. The record is from RefSeq and is a predicted model, not a curated record. Lineage: Eukaryota; Viridiplantae; Streptophyta; Magnoliopsida; Malpighiales; Salicaceae.